RNAcentral lists this small nucleolar RNA (220 nucleotides) under Phaeomoniella chlamydospora. Lineage: Eukaryota; Fungi; Ascomycota; Eurotiomycetes; Phaeomoniellales; Phaeomoniellaceae. The record is from RNAcentral.
ACGUCUCUUGCCUCGCUCGGUCUGCCCCUUUGCCUUCCUAUGGACUGAUCUUGAGCUGGAUGCAAAAUCUUUUUCCCCCUUUGCAAGGGAUCUAGAGUUUUUCGCAUGAGACAAUAUUGAUUCUAUGUUUCCGACGACAACUUGAGUACAAUCCCAUCAAAUACUCCCUCGUUUGGAGCAUGGUGGUGUUCUUUAUUGUAAUUAUGUACGUCGAACAUUU